AGAGGAAGUAAAAGUCGUAAUUUUGGUUUCCGUAGGUGAACCUGCGGAAGGAUCAUUAUCGUAGGGCUUCGGCCCUGUCGAGAUAGAACCCUUGCCUUUUUGAGUACCUUUCGUUUCCUCGGCAGGCUCGCCUGCCAAUGGGGACCACAAGAAACACUUUGCAGUACCUGUAAUAGUCUGAACAAACAAACAAAAAUUAAAACUUUCAACAACGGAUCUCUUGGUUCUGGCAUCGAUGAAGAACGCAGCGAAAUGCGAUAAGUAGUGUGAAUUGCAGAAUUCAGUGAAUCAUCGAAUCUUUGAACGCACAUUGCGCCCUUUGGUAUUCCUUAGGGCAUGCCUGUUCGAGCGUCAUUUAAACCUUCAAGCUAAGCUUGGUGUUGGGUGACUGUCCGCUUCACUGCGGACUCGCCUCAAAAUUAUUGGCGGCCGGUACAUUGGCUUCGAGCGCAGCAGAAACGCGAACUCGGGCCCGUCGUAUUGGCUCCCAGAAGCUAUCUUCACAAUUUUGACCUCGGAUCAGGUAGGGAUACCCGCUGAACUUAAGCAUAUCA
Molecule: ribosomal RNA, 554 nt
Filed under: Ascomycota sp. UNEX FECRGA 2012E394
Lineage: Eukaryota; Fungi; Ascomycota
Description: eukaryotic LSU rRNA
Rfam family: 5.8S ribosomal RNA (bases 201-354)
Source: RNAcentral